RNAcentral lists this ribosomal RNA (594 nucleotides) under Hanseniaspora opuntiae. Its description in RNAcentral is "eukaryotic LSU rRNA". It matches the Rfam family "Eukaryotic large subunit ribosomal RNA", at positions 45 to 654 of the family's 3401-position model. Lineage: Eukaryota; Fungi; Ascomycota; Saccharomycetes; Saccharomycodales; Saccharomycodaceae. The record is from RNAcentral.
AUAAAGCGGAGGAAAGAAACCAACUGGGAUUACCUUAGUAACGGCGAGUGAAGCGGUAAAAGCUCAAAUUUGAAAUCUGGUACUUUCAGUGCCCGAGUUGUAAUUUGUAGAAUUUGUCUUUGAUUAGGUCCUUGUCUAUGUUCCUUGGAACAGGACGUCAUAGAGGGUGAGAAUCCCGUUUGGCGAGGAUACCUUUUCUCUGUAAGACUUUUUCGAAGAGUCGAGUUGUUUGGGAAUGCAGCUCAAAGUGGGUGGUAAAUUCCAUCUAAAGCUAAAUAUUGGCGAGAGACCGAUAGCGAACAAGUACAGUGAUGGAAAGAUGAAAAGAACUUUGAAAAGAGAGUGAAAAAGUACGUGAAAUUGUUGAAAGGGAAGGGCAUUUGAUCAGACAUGGUGUUUUUUGCAUGCACUCGCCUCUCGUGGGCUUGGGCCUCUCAAAAAUUUCACUGGGCCAACAUCAAUUCUGGCAGUAGGAUAAAUCAUUAAGAAUGUAGCUACCUCGGUAGUGUUAUAGCUUAUUGGAAUACUGCUAGCUGGGAUUGAGGACUGCGCUUCGGCAAGGAUGUUGGCAUAAUGGUUAAAUGCCGCCCGUCU